Molecule: ribosomal RNA, 253 nt
Filed under: uncultured bacterium
Lineage: Bacteria
Description: partial 16S ribosomal RNA
Rfam family: Bacterial small subunit ribosomal RNA
Source: RNAcentral
UACGUAGGGUGCGAGCGUUAAUCGGAAUUACUGGGCGUAAAGUGUGCGCAGGCGGCUUAGCAAGUCGAGUGUGAAAUCCCCGAGCUUAACUUGGGAAUUGCGCUCGAAACUACGGAGCUGGAGUGUGGCAGAGGAAGGUGGAAUUCCACGUGUAGCGGUGAAAUGCGUAGAGAUGUGGAGGAACACCGAUGGCGAAGGCAGCCUUCUGGGCCAACACUGACGCUCAUGCACGAAAGCGUGGGGAGCAAACAGG